CAAGCAGCGUGGGGAUUACUUUCUCUCAGUCAAGAAUCUUAGCUUUCUAGAAAUUUUCAAACCCAUUGAAUAAAUCUAACUAAUAUUCUCAACUGUUCGGAUAAAUCGAUCAUCCUCUGUAAACUGACUGAUCUCCAACGUAGAUCGACUGACAUCCGAUUCUGAUCCCAUAAACAGAUAUGACUCUGAAAAUGAUUACCGACCGAACAUCAACUAAA
Molecule: long non-coding RNA, 218 nt
Filed under: Elaeis guineensis (African oil palm)
Lineage: Eukaryota; Viridiplantae; Streptophyta; Magnoliopsida; Arecales; Arecaceae
Description: long non-coding RNA (EGUI_LNC005904)
Source: RNAcentral